UGCAGUCGAACGAUGAUGCCCAGCUUGCUGGGCGGAUUAGUGGCGAACGGGUGAGUAAUACGUGAGUAACCUGCCCUUGACUCUGGGAUAAGCCUGGGAAACUGGGUCUAAUACUGGAUACUACCUCUUACCGCAUGGUGGGUGGUGGAAAGGGUUUUACUGGUUUUGGAUGGGCUCACGGCCUAUCAGCUUGUUGGUGGGGUAAUGGCUCACCAAGGCGACGACGGGUAGCCGGCCUGAGAGGGUGACCGGCCACACUGGGACUGAGACACGGCCCAGACUCCUACGGGAGGCAGCAGUGGGGAAUAUUGCACAAUGGGCGGAAGCCUGAUGCAGCGACGCCGCGUGAGGGAUGACGGCCUUCGGGUUGUAAACCUCUUUCAGUAGGGAAGAAGCGAGAGUGACGGUACCUGCAGAAGAAGCGCCGGCUAACUACGUGCCAGCAGCCGCGGUAAUACGUAGGGCGCAAGCGUUGUCCGGAAUUAUUGGGCGUAAAGAGCUCGUAGGCGGUUUGUCGCGUCUGCUGUGAAAGCCCGGGGCUCAACCCCGGGUCUGCAGUGGGUACGGGCAGACUAGAGUGCAGUAGGGGAGACUGGAAUUCCUGGUGUAGCGGUGAAAUGCGCAGAUAUCAGGAGGAACACCGAUGGCGAAGGCAGGUCUCUGGGCUGUUACUGACGCUGAGGAGCGAAAGCAUGGGGAGCGAACAGGAUUAGAUACCCUGGUAGUCCAUGCCGUAAACGUUGGGCACUAGGUGUGGGGGACAUUCCACGUUUUCCGCGUUCCGCGCCGUAGCUAACGCAUUAAGUGCCCCGCCUGGGGAGUACGGCCGCAAGGCUAAAACUCAAAGGAAUUGACGGGGGCCCGCACAAGCGGCGGAGCAUGCGGAUUAAUUCGAUGCAACGCGAAGAACCUUACCAAGGCUUGACAUUCACCGGACCGCCCCAGAGAUGGGGUUUCCCUUCGGGGCUGGUGGACAGGUGGUGCAUGGUUGUCGUCAGCUCGUGUCGUGAGAUGUUGGGUUAAGUCCCGCAACGAGCGCAACCCUCGUUCUAUGUUGCCAGCACGUGAUGGUGGGGACUCAUAGGAGACUGCCGGGGUCAACUCGGAGGAAGGUGGGGAUGACGUCAAAUCAUCAUGCCCCUUAUGUCUUGGGCUUCACGCAUGCUACAAUGGCCGGUACAAAGGGUUGCGAUACUGUGAGGUGGAGCUAAUCCCAAAAAGCCGGUCUCAGUUCGGAUUGAGGUCUGCAACUCGACCUCAUGAAGUCGGAGUCGCUAGUAAUCGCAGAUCAGCAACGCUGCGGUGAAUACGUUCCCGGGCCUUGUACACACCGCCCGUCAAGUCACGAAAGUUGGUAACACCCGAAGCCGGUGGCCUAACCCCUUGUGGGAGGGAGCCGUCGAA
RNAcentral lists this ribosomal RNA (1404 nucleotides) under Kocuria rosea. RNAcentral's name for it is "bacterial SSU rRNA". It matches the Rfam family "Bacterial small subunit ribosomal RNA". Lineage: Bacteria; Bacillati; Actinomycetota; Actinomycetes; Micrococcales; Micrococcaceae. The record is from RNAcentral.